ACCACGUCUCGAAGAUGGAACAAUUCAUGCGUGACACGACGAUCGUCGGUCUCUCUGAGGGAUUAAUUCGUACUAUAAUCUUUUACGAGGAAAAAAAUGAUCACCGGGCACGUGAAUGGUGCACCUUGCGAGCCAUUGCUCCCGUCCCAAAAUUACGUAGAAGGGCUAAUCGAACGAUCACCACGAACAACAUAACGUAAGCGCGUAUAAUAGCGUUAAAAUACUACAUUUCUCGAAGCAUCGGCUUCACGGUGCUACAACACACAUUACACAACACAAGCAUCGCACCGAUUUUACACCACAAUAAAAGACAAACAAUAUUCGCCGACCAACGAAGAAGCUAUUCUCUCACUGUACAAGGCAUUGAAAAAUUUGUCUAUAGCUAUCGCGAGAUUGUGAUUCAACGAGCAUCUCAGGUGCAUCAACCUAAUCUUACACGAGUUUGCACAGGAUUACAGAGCAAUCACUCUUUUUGUUUCGACGAGAAACGUGGCGCGUCGCGUAACAACGUUCUUUAUUCGUGGGUCACGCGAAACAUAGGAAUAUCCUUUUGUCCCCGUGAGCAACCACGGCUGCUCCCCGUGAUCAAUAAUCCUGUAAGCCGUAGGUAAGUGAAGCUACGCGCGACGACCGCUAUUUGGACACGAUCUAUUUAUUGCGAACUCGGUGUGGUCACAACUCGGCGAUCAAAACUCUGCCCGUUCGCGGAAUUAACACGUGUUUUAGAUAUGUGUACCUUUUAGAUAUCUAUACCUUGUAAUUCAGGGACAGAGAACGAAGACGGCACGGAUCGAUCCUUUAUACCCUGGGUGCUGCACAAGUCACCGUGAAUCAAUACCUCGCGUUUUCAGUGCGUAGUACUACGCCCGACGAUGAUACUGACAACACUAACAGCCGGCAAGGCUACUAACUGAACAGCAGGCAACGCGUUCCUCCGACUUGGCCGACACGGUAUUGCGCCCACCACCAAGAAUUAUUCCUGUGCGGUGGUGUUCAUGGCUGCAGAAAAUCGAAGUUUUAUUUUAACGGGACCCCUACCCAAUGGCUUUCCUCCGGUUCCGCACGUUUCCGAGCAGUGCUCACUAGGCAUGCCCGAACACUGCAGAAUCCGACAAAUUCACCUCGCCACACGAGUUCAAAAUUUUCUUGCGUUUCCCGUUCAAAAGUUACUCUCAAUGACCGGAAAACGAUCCGGGAAUUCGUUCGAAAUUUCGUGGAGGAUUGUACUUUAAAACAAAAUUUCUAUCGACAUCCGACUAUUCUUCUUACUAGUCAAUUGUGUACACAUACUUGCAAACGUGCACAUUGCAUACGUUUCUGUUUAACGAUGAGACAAAAACCGACUAGAAUUGUUCUUGAAUUAUGAUAAUACAGUAAUUUUGGAUUUCGAAUUUUUGCAUGAUAUUUUGGAUGGUUAUUGGAAAAUAGUAAAUAUGAAAGACGAGAAUUUGUUUCUUGUUUGAAUUUUGUUUGCACGAUUCUAAAAUAUUUGUUACAAAUAUGUAUCAGGAGAAGAAACGAAAAUAAAUAGUAUUUGUUGAUGUUAUGAA
Megalopta genalis is the source of this 1550-nucleotide non-coding RNA. The record is from RefSeq and is a predicted model, not a curated record. NCBI's taxonomy places the organism in Eukaryota, Metazoa, Arthropoda, Insecta, Hymenoptera, Halictidae.